This 287-nucleotide long non-coding RNA is filed under the name Zonotrichia albicollis (white-throated sparrow). Its description in RNAcentral is "lncRNA (ENSZALG00000002529.1)". Lineage: Eukaryota; Metazoa; Chordata; Aves; Passeriformes; Passerellidae. The record is from RNAcentral.
GGCUUUUACAAUUAAUUCAGUGUAUUCAUCACAUUUCCCCUGUUGUGUGCAGCGGUUCAUGUUGAAGCUGAGAAAGAUGAUUCAUUUGCUUUCUUCUCCCUCCUGUCAGUAGCAGCAGUAGCCCUCAGAGCAGCAGUAAAUGCCUGGCCUGCAGCCAUGUGUUGCUACUUCUCUUCUGGGCCUUCAGAUGAUACUGUAAUCAGAAGAGGGACAAGGUCUUUGCCCUCACCAUGUCCAAGAGUGUUAAUGAUGUGUUCCCUCUCCAUUGCAUUCCCCACCUGCCAUCC